This 253-nucleotide ribosomal RNA is filed under the name uncultured bacterium. RNAcentral describes it as "partial 16S ribosomal RNA". It matches the Rfam family "Bacterial small subunit ribosomal RNA", at positions 524 to 776 of the family's 1533-position model. The record is from RNAcentral.
UACAGAGGUCUCAAGCGUUGUUCGGAUUCAUUGGGCGUAAAGGGUGCGUUGGCGGCGCGGUAAGUCGGGUGUGAAAUCUUGGAGCUUAACUCCGAAACUGCAUUCGAUACUGCCGUGCUUGAGGACUGGAGAGGAGACUGGAAUUUACGGUGUAGCGGUGAAAUGCGUAGAUAUCGUAAGGAAGACCAGUGGCGAAGGCGGGUCUCUGGACAGUUCCUGACGCUGAGGCACGAAGGCCAGGGGAGCAAACGGG